This 1842-nucleotide long non-coding RNA is filed under the name Musa acuminata (dwarf banana). RNAcentral's name for it is "long non-coding RNA (MACU_LNC008594)". The record is from RNAcentral. Lineage: Eukaryota; Viridiplantae; Streptophyta; Magnoliopsida; Zingiberales; Musaceae.
GGCACCCUUGCGUGUCCGUCCGCAAAGGUCAGCCUCCCCGAAGACUCCCAUUGUCCCUUAGGACCAACAAAAGAGAGAACGGGCAAGAGAGAACGCCUCAAUCGGGAUCCACAAGCAAACAUCUCCGAAAAACACUUCAUAGACAAUGCAAAUUACAAACAAACUUUACAAGCUCUGAAUAGUGGCACAACAAAGGGUAAAAUGGUCCAUUACAGACCGAAAAGCUCUCGCACGUGUCCACAUGACACAACCUUUAUUUAUAAGCCUAAAGAGGCCACCAACCCAACUAAAGUGGGACUAUUAAGCCUUCGGCCGCCCCUCUACAUUCUGUACAAGGCAUGAACAUGCCAACAGACACGGACAUAUAUAAGCAUUACAUCAAACAUCCUGUUUCAAAGUUUGUCCGUGACAUUCUCCCCCACUUAUCCCUUCGACGUCCUCGUCGAAGCCUUUGUGAACACUGCAACUCUUCGCCUUUGCUGAGUCUUUAAUCUUCCGCUCCAACUGCAAUGCGCCUCCUGGCUCCCAGCUGCUCUCUGCUGCUGUUUUUGAGUAGUCGAACCUUUGAUCCGCCAUGCUGCUUCAACUCGCCAAUGACUCUGACUCUAGUGUGGGGUUGGCUGAGUUGUGUUGAUCCUCGUUGAUUCCUGCGGAUCCACCAAAUGAAGGAAAAGACCAUCCUUACUGCGCCAGUCUCUCAAAAUCUCCACAUGCUGCUUGAACUGGGUGGAUGCUUGUUGGAGCUUUAACGAGCAUCGCCUCGCAAACUUCUGAAGUUUUGGGUCCUUCCUCCACAAAAUCUGCUCAUUGACUCUUCUUUCAAUUAGUUGUCACAUCCAAGUAGGUUCGCAUCACUUCCGCUUUCGAUUGGCAUUUCAUUGGGAAAUGAAGCGGACAAUCUACUCUCAGUAGCACUGAUCACCGUUGGUGAGGAUUUGACAACUAUUGUCUUCCAUUAUCUUCAAAGGGUCUUUGAACUUGUGCAGAGCUCCUCUGCUGGAUAGAUAAGAGAAUUGGGGUACUCGGUUUCACCCAUUCUCUUAAGAGUUGAGAAGGCAAAGGUUACUUGACUUCGCCCGCCUCCUCGAGGUUGUACUUCAUGCAUCGAGCUGGUUAUUGGCCUUCGCCUGCUCUUUGCUCACACUUCUGAAGCACUUGAAGUGUUUGCACUCCUUGCGUUGAGUUAGCUACUGUGAUUCACCUUCUCAAUGCCAUUGAACUUCUGGAAUGCAGGAAGUUUUCACCACAACUUGGAGUAAUUCUCUGAUAGAUGAGGUCGCCUCUGGGAUUGUACCGUCUUCUCCAUCAACCCUGCCGCCUACUCCACUGAGUAGCAAAGGUACAACACCACGUACUGCCUGCUUCGUUCCUUGGUCGUGCACUCUUGCAUGACCCGAAGUCCUUCACUUACGGCUAUCUUGAUGAGAAACUUGUUGACACCGGUCUUACGAAGUUUCUUGGCCUCUGCCCUUCAGCCUUGUCUCGGUACUUGGAGAUUGCCUCUCAUGCUCCACCUCCUCGGCCCCUUUCACGACCAAGCGCUCUCCCUCCGUGAGAGCAAUGGAUCAAUGACUUUGACGGAAGUCCCGCCUCUGCGGCCAUGGCGCUGCCAUGCCCAUGGCACUACUAUCCGUUGCCUCGCAUCUGCAUCCCUUUUCUUCAAGAUCAGUAGAUAUGUUUCCGUGGCACUCCUCUGAGUCCACCUCCAUUCUAACUGAUGCUUGAUUUUGGUUAGCUAAGUCCCUCUGGACUCGUCGUCGCUUCCUCGCCCCUUUCGACCCCCUGCUUCAACACCUCUGUGUUCUCCAAGUAGUCUGUUUGGUCGAUGGAAAGACAGACUGC